UAUUUUCUAGGUUCCGGCAAGGAAAUUUGUAAGCCUUUGUAAAGGCUACGUUGUUUAAUUGUUAGGGGGAAUGCGAGAUUAUAAAAAUCACUUCCAGUUGAGAAGUUUUAUAAAGUGUGUUGUUGUUUUCGUUUACUGGGGUUUGGAACCAGUGAAUGCUUCUCCAUGUUUCAAUUAUAGUUCAUGCACUGCAAGAUUGUCCCAAGCCUCAUGAUCAUGCUGCUGUAAAUGUUGCUGAGAUGAGGAAGCAUUUGACAGCUUUGGUGAAAUUACUAACGAGUUAUCAUGACAGAAACUUGGAGGUCAAGGGGCUUUGGAUUUGUCAGCUACACUUUCUGAGAAAAAAUGCUAGUUGAGCUCUAUCUUGUAUGGACGGUCAGGAUCUUGGUGGGAGGUAUAUCCAUGUAAUUAAGCUAUGCCAUUGAAAGUCUUCCCCGAAUUGGUGGGAAUUUUGAGGGGUCUUAUUGAGUACUAGCAGUUUGUCCCUUGGACCAGUUCCCAUUAUGUCAAAUUAUAAUUCAGCUUCUACUGAAACAUAUUAUUAUUGGUGAAUGAACGCCAUAUAUUGUAAAACAAAUGUAUAUGCAUGUGUUUGUUUUAGUUCAAGGUUUGCAAAG
Long non-coding RNA from Papaver somniferum (opium poppy), 617 nucleotides. RefSeq lists it as uncharacterized. The transcript has 4 exons. The record is from RefSeq and is a predicted model, not a curated record. Lineage: Eukaryota; Viridiplantae; Streptophyta; Magnoliopsida; Ranunculales; Papaveraceae.